This 316-nucleotide ribosomal RNA is filed under the name uncultured Rhodoferax sp. Its description in RNAcentral is "bacterial SSU rRNA". It matches the Rfam family "Bacterial small subunit ribosomal RNA", at positions 1063 to 1382 of the family's 1533-position model. The record is from RNAcentral. Lineage: Bacteria; Pseudomonadati; Pseudomonadota; Betaproteobacteria; Burkholderiales; Comamonadaceae.
UGUCGCGAGAUGUUGGUUAAGUCCCGCAACGAGCGCAACCCUUGUCAUUAGUUGCUACAUUCAGUUGGGCACUCUAAUGAGACUGCCGGUGACAAGCCGGAGGAAGGUGGGGAUGACGUCAAGUCCUCAUGGCCCUUAUAGGUGGGGCUACACACGUCAUACAAUGGCUGGUACAAAGGGUUGCCAACCCGCGAGGGGGAGCUAAUCCCAUAAAGCCAGUCGUAGUCCGGAUCGUAGUCUGCAACUCGACUACGUGAAGUCGGAAUCGCUAGUAAUCGUGGAUCAGAAUGUCACGGUGAAUACGUUCCCGGGUCUU